GCGGACGUGGUGGAAUUGGUAGACACGCUAGCUUGAGGGGCUAGUGCCUAUUUUUUAAAGGCGUGGAAGUUCGAGUCUUCUCGUCCGCACCA
Molecule: transfer RNA, 92 nt
Filed under: bacterium
Lineage: Bacteria
Description: tRNA-Leu
Rfam family: tRNA
About the family: Transfer RNA (tRNA) molecules are approximately 80 nucleotides in length.
Source: RNAcentral